This 234-nucleotide ribosomal RNA is filed under the name Triticum aestivum (bread wheat). RNAcentral's name for it is "partial small subunit ribosomal RNA". The record is from RNAcentral. Lineage: Eukaryota; Viridiplantae; Streptophyta; Magnoliopsida; Poales; Poaceae.
AUGUUCGAACAAUUUGGGCAUAUUUUGUAUGAGUGUGGGGCUUAUCAGGUAGAGGAGAUUGAGAAGCACAGGACAUACAUUGCGAUUCAUAGUGAAGCAGAAAAAAGAGAGAAGUGGUGCAGAGUAUCUUACAAAGUCACUAUGCUUGAUGGUGGCAACGAGUUUAAGUGCGAGUGUGGGCGGUUUGCACAUAUGGGCCUGCUUUGCAUUUAUGUUCUGAAGGUGGGGAAAUAA